RNAcentral lists this ribosomal RNA (87 nucleotides) under Acinetobacter baumannii. RNAcentral also lists the same sequence under 2 other names. Lineage: Bacteria; Pseudomonadati; Pseudomonadota; Gammaproteobacteria; Moraxellales; Moraxellaceae. The record is from RNAcentral.
CUGAUCCCUUCCCGAACUCAGAAGUGAAACCUCUUAGCGCUGAUGGUAGUGUGGGAUUACCCAUGUGAGAGUAAGUCAUCGCCAGCU